RNAcentral lists this ribosomal RNA (372 nucleotides) under uncultured organism. RNAcentral's name for it is "partial 16S ribosomal RNA". It matches the Rfam family "Bacterial small subunit ribosomal RNA", at positions 527 to 896 of the family's 1533-position model. The record is from RNAcentral.
GUAGGUGGCAAGCGUUGUCCGGAAUUAUUGGGCGUAAAGCGCGCGCAGGCGGGUUCUUUAAGUCUGAUGUGAAAGCCCACGGGCUCAACCGUGGAGGGUCAUUGGAAACUGGAGAACUUGAGUACAGAAGAGGAAAGCGGAAUUCCACGUGUAGCGGUGAAAUGCGUAGAGAUGUGGAGGAACACCAGUGGCGAAGGCGGCUUUCUGGUCUGUAACUGACGCUGAGGCGCGAAAGCGUGGGGAGCAAACAGGAUUAGAUACCCUGGUAGUCCACGCCGUAAACGAUGAGUGCUAAGUGUUAGGGGGUUUCCGCCCCUUAGUGCUGCAGCUAACGCAUUAAGCACUCCGCCUGGGGGUACGGCCGCAAGGCUG